AGCACUGAAGGGACUUGCACUGUGGAUAACUGUGGAUUGGUUUUGGCUUCACUGUAAAUAAAGACACUGUUCAACUUAAACGAGAGGACAGCGAACUGGAUGAAAGUGACAGCGAGUACGAGAGGAUCCCAGAGUCAGGCCUGAGGAACAGUUAGGAGAUCAGGGGUCAGUUAAAGGUUAUCAAUAUCUGAUGUGUGUAGGUAAUCAAUAGUGUGUGUGUGUGUGUGUGUGUGUGUGUUUUUGUUUGUUUGUUUUUGUUUGUUUUGUUUUGUUUUUUUUAAGGUCAGCAACAGUAUUCACCCUCUGUCUGAAUCUUUGAGAUGAUUAAACUUAAUCCAAGUCUGGUGUGACUUUUGAGAA
This is a long non-coding RNA of Oreochromis aureus, 360 nucleotides long. RefSeq lists it as uncharacterized. The record is from RefSeq and is a predicted model, not a curated record. Lineage: Eukaryota; Metazoa; Chordata; Actinopteri; Cichliformes; Cichlidae. The transcript is spliced from 2 exons.